RNAcentral lists this transfer RNA (70 nucleotides) under Trogloglanis pattersoni (toothless blindcat). RNAcentral describes it as "tRNA-Glu". It matches the Rfam family "tRNA". From Rfam's summary of the family: Transfer RNA (tRNA) molecules are approximately 80 nucleotides in length. Their secondary structure includes four short double-helical elements and three loops (D, anti-codon, and T loops). Lineage: Eukaryota; Metazoa; Chordata; Actinopteri; Siluriformes; Ictaluridae. The record is from RNAcentral.
GUUCUCAUAGUUGAAUUACAACGGUGGGUUUUCAAGUCAUUGGUUCCUGGUUAAAUUCCGGGUGAGAAUU